RNAcentral lists this ribosomal RNA (26 nucleotides) under Bryoria cf. implexa. Its description in RNAcentral is "partial 18S small subunit ribosomal RNA". Lineage: Eukaryota; Fungi; Ascomycota; Lecanoromycetes; Lecanorales; Parmeliaceae. The record is from RNAcentral.
GACCUGGUUGAUUCUGCCAGUAGUCA